CUAUGACUAUGUCAUGGCGGAAGGAG
Molecule: non-coding RNA, 26 nt
Filed under: unclassified sequences
Source: RNAcentral